This 3212-nucleotide long non-coding RNA is filed under the name Olea europaea (common olive). RNAcentral's name for it is "long non-coding RNA (OEUR_LNC007468)". The record is from RNAcentral. Lineage: Eukaryota; Viridiplantae; Streptophyta; Magnoliopsida; Lamiales; Oleaceae.
GUUAGAGUCCUUACUCCUAGUUGCUAUCUUCGUUUCGAAACUGAUACGGAUCCAUUCUACAACGCAUCGAUGGUUGAAGCAGUACCCCAGCCACCAACACCACCAAUGCCACCGCCACCGUCACCGCAGCCGCCGGGUAAGGACUUUGUCUUUUUUUUUUUUUGGCCAGAGAUAUUUUCCGAUGAUAAGACCAUUUGUCACCACGGUAUUAUCCAAAUAAUAAGUUGGCCCCCACCAUUAGUAGAGGAUGGUUUCUGUCGUUUUAGAUUGAUUAGGAUAAAAGAUUGAGGACCAACUUACUCAAUUUUAAAGCUUGAGUCGCUUAAUCACUGAUUUUUAAGAAUAAAGUCAAUUAUGUCUUAAUUUAUUAGUUUGGCAAAUGAAACAAGCAAUUGUUUGGAAAGAACUUAUGAAACACGCCCUGAUGCGUCCUGAGCCGAAUGGGGUAAAAAAGCUCGCCUUGAACGGGUUGGUGGGGCAGGGCAAGGUAGGGCGAGAAUGCUCCGCCCCAAACUUGCCCCGUGAAGGAGAAAAAAAGAUUAAAAAUAAUUUUGGAUAGUUUACCCGUUAAAAAUUCAUUUUGAAUUUAUAUUUUAUUCCCUAAUAAUGACAUAAAUCGAAAUAUUGAAAAUGUAAAUAAAAUAAAAUAAAAUAAUACAUACAUACAUACAUACAUACAUACAUACAUACAUACAUACAUACAUACAUACAUAUAUAUAUAUAUAUAUAUAUAUAUAUAUAUAUAUANUCUUCUCAAGUUAAAUACCCGAAUGGGUAUCUGAAUCAAGAAUCGACGGGUACGGUUCGAUUCUCAGUUCUAGACCAAGAACCAAAUAUUCCUAAUUUUUUUUUAUAUUGAAUAAAUCAAAUUAUUUUAAUUUUUUCUAAACAAAUUAACAAAUUAGGUGAUUAAUUGAUACUUUAUCUCCUAAGCCCUAGCCUAGCUAGCUUGACCUAACCCAACCAAUUUCUAAAUCCAAUUUUUGGCCCUAUUAUUUGUUUAAUUUCUAAUUUUUUAAUUUUUAGCCCAAGUGCCAUUUUUAGUUUUUAUUCUUCCAUUUUUUAGCCCAACAUCCAAGUGAUCCAACCCACUAAUGACUAACCCUAAAUAAAUUACACACAUUAUCACCUACAAAUAACACAUCUGACAUUCCAAAACUCAAAUAGAUGUAUAGAACCUCCAACUCUGAGUCCGAAGCUAUGACCUCCGAGCUCCGAUGGGGAUCUUCGACCGUUGAUCAUUUGAAUAAGAUAGUGUGUAAGCUUCCUUAUAUGUGAUUGGUAAAUUAAUCUUGUUGGAAAACUUGUUAUAUACAUGUUAAAUUGGAUUACGUUAAUUUAUAAAAUUACGAUUGAGUGUGUUAUUAGUUGUAUUUAUGUAGUUAUAAAUGUUAAAAAAUUUAAUUAUAGUACAAAACCGAACAGAAUCGAAUCGAUCCGAACGGAAUCAAACCCGAACGGUUCCAUAAUUAUAUUUGGACCCGACGGUUCUAUUUACUAAAUACCCGAAAUUUUUGGUUCGGUUUAACUAUAUUUUUAAUAUUUUUAAAAGGGUAAAAUAGUAACUUUUCAUUUACUGCGUUAAAAUAAGUUUAAAAAAAUUAAAAAAGAAAACCCUCCUCUUUUUCCCGUCCCUUCCCCACCCAUACCCAAUUAAGUAGAAACUCCUCCCAAACGACAUCGUUGACUUGUCCAAUCGAGGCCGAGGGUAAAUACGAACCGGAGGAAGAUUGUGUCAACGAUGAGGCGAAAACCCACAAAGAGAUGGGCAUCAACAACUACGUUUAUUCUUCAGAUUUUUAGCCUGCAUCAAUGUCAUUUUCUAUUCAAGAAACUUGCCCUAGAAUUGAAUCUGAGAGUCCUGGCAGCAAUUUUUAUAGUUUAAACAGCCAUCAAAAUCCCAGAAAGAAGUGCACCAAUGUACACCUUAGGAUGAUGAAGAAUUAGAGUUUCAAACCCCUUGCUUGUAGGAAGCCCCCUAAUCCUUUCAAGAACAAUAUGUGGAUGCUGGAGAAACCACAACCCUCGAUGAAUUCGUGCGUUCAUGGGUUGAUGAGGCUGAUAAUUGGGCAGUGAUGCAGUGGCAAAUCUAGAAUUUUGAGUGAGCACGGGCGGAUGUUGACCGUAAUAAAAUAUUAAAAAUUAAAUAUAAUAAUUAUUUCAAAAACAAUUGAACAUAUAUAUUUUUGUUAUAUUGAUAGGGUUUCCUAUAAUUCAAAGCAAAUAACAUAGGUUCGAAUCCUUUCAAUUGCAUUAAACCAACUAAAACAAAAUAUAUAUUAUUCUGUAAUGUUUUGUAUCAAAAGUCAUUGAGUGUCAUGGUGGUUUAACUAUCAAUAACUUUCAUGACCUGUCACAGGUUCAAAUCCCCACUCUCUUACAUUAGUUUUAGAGAAAAUUGAAGAAGUAUAAAAAUUGUGCAAUAAAUUUGGUUAGCAAAAUAUUCGAACCCUACACCUUUUGUUUUGAAAGUAGAGGCUCCAACCAAUUCAGCUGCUAGAGUUGAUUAGAAUAAAUAUGAAUUAUCAAAUAUAUAUAAAAUGUUUAUCUACUACUGUCAACAAAACAAAAAAACUCCCGGCGGAUCCAACUAGGGCGGCUGCCCUAGCUCGCCAUCAGCUGGAUCCGCCACUGCAGUGAUGAAGAAAUAGGUGAUUGGCAAUGGUCUUGAGAAGAGUGAGAAAGGAGUGAGAUGUGGGUUCUUCUUGGAUUCACAGUCUCAAGCUCAUCAAUCUGAUUACUAGGUCUAGGGGUUGGGGUAAGGGUAAAGGUGAGGGAGAAGAACUUUUUUUCCUUUUUAUUUUGUUUUCUUAUUUUUUUGUUGUAGUUUUUAUUUAAAUUUUUUAAUGUGCAAAAUAUAAAAUUAUCAUUUUGUCCUUUUAUAAUUGAUUAAUAUGUGGUCAAAGUCCAUUUUUUCGGUCAACUAAUAGAAACAUGGAUGGAAUCCAUUCAUUGGGGCUUCAUCUGUAACAUUUUGAAAAGUCUGGGAUGACGGUUACAACAAAUAAAAAGUUAACGGAAAGUUUGCAACUUUUUAAAAGGUUUCGGGCCUCAGCUACAAUUAUCCCCAAAAUAUAUAUGAAAUGGGAAAAAUACAACCCGAACUAUCAUUAUUGUCAUCGUUCCAAUUGCCGUGUGUCUAAUACUUGCUCUUUGCAUUGGCAUCUACUUAAAAACGAAAAAAAUGCGUAAACCAAGGGAAAAAGUUGAUC